RNAcentral lists this small nuclear RNA (179 nucleotides) under Saimiri boliviensis boliviensis (Bolivian squirrel monkey). RNAcentral's name for it is "U2 spliceosomal RNA (ENSSBOG00000009546.1)". It matches the Rfam family "U2 spliceosomal RNA". From Rfam's summary of the family: U2 is a small nuclear RNA (snRNA) component of the spliceosome (involved in pre-mRNA splicing). Complementary binding between U2 snRNA (in an area lying towards the 5' end but 3' to hairpin I) and the branchpoint sequence (BPS) of the intron results the bulging out of an unpaired adenosine, on the BPS, which initiates a nucleophilic attack at the intronic 5' splice site, thus starting the first of two transesterification reactions that mediate splicing. Lineage: Eukaryota; Metazoa; Chordata; Mammalia; Primates; Cebidae. The record is from Rfam by way of RNAcentral.
UUAACUUUUGGCUAAGAUCAAGUGUAGUAUCUGUUCUUAUCAGUUUAAUAUCUGAUACGUCCUCUAUCCGAGAACAACAUAUUAAAUGUAUUUUUGGAGUUGGGAGAUGGAAUAGGAGCUUGCUCCAUCCAUUCCACGCAACUUCGAGGAACGGUACACCCCCUCGGGAUACAAUUCAU